AAGGAUUGAACAAAAGCAUUUGGGAUCCUGGUGAUCAAAUGUGUCUUGGUCUUUCCUACAGAGCUUAUGGACAUGUGGCUGUUACUGGGCGAGCACAGACAGACCACUGCAGACUGUUCGGACAGGAGGCGAGCAUGGGUCAGCAGCUCCCUGCCAAGGCUUUACAAGAAAGGCAGAAAGGGAUGGCAGAGCUUCGGAGCACGGCUGGACCCACAGAAACGACACGCCGCCGAGCUGAGAGCCCUAUAGGUGCCGUUUGCCUCGACAAGGAGGAUGCAUUUCUACAGUGGAGAAAUUGUCCGUGCUUAAGUCAGUCUUCUCACUGAACAUCUCCAUCCUGCAUUUUGCACCAUUCUUAUGCAAAAACAACCCAAAACUGCUGCACCACAGUAAGUCACGGAGACGGUUCAAAGCGCAGAGGUGAUUAUAAUUUAUAACUAACAUGUAUGUACAACGUCAUAGACACAGACAUAGAGCUGUGUGCAUGUGUUUGUGUGUGCUUGGUUUUAUCUGCUAUCAUGUUUUCAUUCCUCCUCCCUCUCCUCCCUGUUACAUUUAUUUUCUUACUGGCAGUUCCCUUGCUCCCUUCCCAAAACCUUUUUUUUGCCAAAUAUUCCCCUCUUUUUCAUGCUUCUUUAGAGAGGGUGGAGAUGUAGACAACCCUGAUAAAACUCAGGGCUGAGCUGCCUAUUGCUAGGAACAGAGUGAAAAAGCUGAAGGCAGACCCUGAAAUGCCAGCCCUUCACUCACUACAUAUCAGCUGUUCCAGCUGCUUCUGCAACAGCAUGCACCAGGGUGAGGAAAAAAGGAGACCAGAAUUCACAAUGAGAUCAGGGCAGGGCACGAGAAA
Molecule: long non-coding RNA, 850 nt
Filed under: Struthio camelus australis
Lineage: Eukaryota; Metazoa; Chordata; Aves; Struthioniformes; Struthionidae
Description: lncRNA (ENSSCUG00000003035.1)
Source: RNAcentral